AAAGCCAAACCAUAUCAUCUUCAUUCUCCCCCCUGGCACUUGAGGGGAAAAAAGAAUCAUAUCAGCUUGACUAUUCAAAAAAGAAGCAAGAGCGCCACAGUUAUUUCAGUGCAUGGGAAAAGGGAUAAACUGAAACAAUAAACUUGAACGUUUAGGAAUAUAAAGGUAAGGGGGAGAGAGAUAACAAUCUUGGCCUCUGAGUUCUGCAACCCUAUGGUUGUUUUAAACAAAUGAAAGCAGAUUGCUUUCUUCCUGGAGUUCUAGUGAAAUGUAUCUUGCCACCAGCAGACCGUUCGGAGCUCCUGGCCACAGUUUAUUGGCUCAUUGCCACGUGUCAUUAGUGACCUAUUUUCGCUGCUGUGAAAUCGGCCAUGUCUGAAGGCCCCCGAAUCAGCAGUUUCUCCCUCCACUCACCGGCUCCAGGCUGGCAAAGCUGACACCAGUGCCACAGAAAAUGCAACCCGCUGCCCUCUCCCCAAAAUGUGGGGAGAGCACGGUUUUGCUAUGAAGAUGUCGGCUUUGACCUGAGGCUGACUUGAGAGCCCAGCUGUCAUGUCUCUUCCAAAUAAGCUGCUGAACUUGGAAUUAUCUUGGCUGAAUAAUUAAUCAGGACUAAAAAUAACCUCAAACUGCCUGGGCUUUGCUUAAAUCCUACACAGGCACAGCAUCACCUUACAUCGAAGACAGAUUCAACGAAUCUGCCUCUCAUCCUAGGUGGCCACUAGGCAACUCCUCUGGGACCAUUUCUUCCUGCUCUAUGCUCCCAUGACCUUCAUUCAUACUCCCUCUUCCCCUGCUGGAAACCUACUUCUUUUACCUCCUCAAAGGUAAAAGGACCAGCUGGUGAACAAAAGAAUACAUUUGCUCUAUCUAAAGAGAAGCAUUAGAGCAAGGGAGGAAAAACUGAUGCAAGACAAAUGACUUGGGCUCAUCAUAAAAUACUGAGCAGUCAGCAGAACAUUAAGAAGAGACUUCUACUCCCCACCACACACAUAACCAUCUGCACACCUGAAUGCCGAGACUAAGCCUCACCAGACGCCAGCAGCAUAAAUGAGAGGAGUCACUUACCCCUCUGAGGCUCAGGCUUCUCGACUGGAAAAAAAAAAAGAUAAUAAAAAUAUCAGUUCAGUUGGG
Molecule: long non-coding RNA, 1134 nt
Filed under: Homo sapiens (human)
Lineage: Eukaryota; Metazoa; Chordata; Mammalia; Primates; Hominidae
Description: HSALNT0368935
Source: RNAcentral